This 649-nucleotide ribosomal RNA is filed under the name uncultured bacterium. RNAcentral describes it as "bacterial SSU rRNA". It matches the Rfam family "Bacterial small subunit ribosomal RNA", at positions 43 to 738 of the family's 1533-position model. The record is from RNAcentral.
CAGGCCUAACACAUGCAAGUCGAACGAACCCUUCGGGGUUAGUGGCGCACGGGUGCGUAACGCGUGGGAACCUGCCUUUAGGUUCGGAAUAACUCAGAGAAAUUUGAGCUAAUACCGGAUAAUGUCUUCGGACCAAAGAUUUAUCGCCUUUAGAUGGGCCCGCGUUAGAUUAGAUAGUUGGUGGGGUAAUGGCCUACCAAGUCGACGAUCUAUAGCUGGUCUGAGAGGAUGAUCAGCCACACUGGGACUGAGACACGGCCCAGACUCCUACGGGAGGCAGCAGUGGGGAAUAUUGGACAAUGGGCGAAAGCCUGAUCCAGCAAUGCCGCGUGAGUGAUGAAGGCCUUAGGGUUGUAAAGCUCUUUUACUAGGGAUGAUAAUGACAGUACCUAGAGAAUAAGCUCCGGCUAACUCCGUGCCAGCAGCCGCGGUAAUACGGAGGGAGCUAGCGUUGUUCGGAAUUACUGGGCGUAAAGCGCGCGUAGGCGGCUUUUCAAGUCAGGGGUGAAAUCCCGGGGCUCAACCCCGGAACUGCCCUUGAAACUGGAUGGCUAGAAUACUGGAGAGGUGAGUGGAAUUCCGAGUGUAGAGGUGAAAUUCGUAGAUAUUCGGAAGAACACCAGUGGCGAAGGCGACUCACUGGACAGUU